AAAAAGAAAAUAGACCUCACUGUCUUGUGUUAGCUGUUUAAAGGGCAAGGAACAGAGACUAUUUUAUCUUGCUGCAUGGGCAGACUUUAACACUACAGCUGAAAGCACUUUUCUAUCCCUUUUACUCAGCAGAGAUUAUGUAGAGCUGUGGACAGCUGUUUAAUAUUACAUAGACCACAGCCAUGCAAAGCAGCAGCUAGAGCCCAAAACAGGUUUAGGAUUUUCUUUAUGUAAUGAUAGCCCCAUGUAAUGAUGUGCUAGAAUCAGAGACUUCUUGGGGCUCUGUAUCUGUUGGGUCUAAGCUCACAUCUUCCUGGAGAUGCUAGAGCUGUGACUCCAGAGUCAAAAUGGGAAGCCUGGCAUUUCUGGUUGCUCUGUGAUAGAGGAAGGAGGAACAGAAUUAAAGGGAGACAGAAUAUGGAAAUAACAAGCUGGGAUGAGAAGUAUCUGGAGAAAGGGUGAAUUUUCCUUCUCUUGCCUGGGCUCUGACUGCACUUUAGAAGCCACGCGGAUGCUCACAAGUUCGUGAUGUCACUGAAGUGAGCUCUUUUCCACUGGGAAGAAGAAAUUUCACUGCAAUUCAGACAUGUUCCUAACAUAGCGAUCUACAGCAAAUUCAGAGGUGCCAAGCCCUGCCAGCCCAAGAUUUCAACCAUAUUUACAGUUGUACUACAUCAGGAGGAUUUGAGGAUUUGGCCACAAGAAAAAACACCUCUGUAGUCAAGAGGAGUUCCAACCCACAACUGGUGGGUGCUCAUCUGAAGGAGCAGCUAACCAGAAUUAGACCCACACAGCAUCUCCACUGCAUCUCACCAACAAGCUGGUUUGGCUGGAUGGCUGCUGAGCGGUGCUGGUAUCCACCUGGCUGAAGAACUUGCAUGGCAGACAGGCAGACUUGCAUGAGCUGUAAUUUGAAGUAGAUAAUUUUGUGUUGCAAAAUAGGUGAGAAUGGUACAAGUUCUGCUGGGCUCAGCCCUAUGGCAUGGCAGUAUAUGUUUCUGUAUAUUCCUGUAAAAGGGCUUGAAGGAAAUUCUCUGCCCUUUAAUGAUGAAUGAAAUAUUUCCUUCUUCCAA
Anas platyrhynchos (mallard) is the source of this 1073-nucleotide long non-coding RNA. RefSeq lists it as uncharacterized. Lineage: Eukaryota; Metazoa; Chordata; Aves; Anseriformes; Anatidae. The record is from RefSeq and is a predicted model, not a curated record.